Molecule: small RNA, 347 nt
Filed under: Heterosigma akashiwo
Lineage: Eukaryota; Raphidophyceae; Chattonellales; Chattonellaceae
Description: transfer-messenger RNA
Source: RNAcentral
GGGGCUGAAUGGAUUCGACAUUUAAAAAAACAUUUUUAUUAUACAAUCUUUUUAAUAAGUAAAAAUAACUGCAAAUAAUUCAAUUCAUUUUAACCGAGUUUCAGCAUUUUGUUAAUAUAGUUUUACUAAAACUUUAGCCAAAAUUGUCAGGAAACUUGCUAGUCAAUAUUUCUUAAUUGAUAAAAAGUUGACUAAAAUUAUUAAUCUGCACUAACUUAAGAGUUAAGAGUUAUAAACUUUAAAAUUUUUAAUAGUUUUUUAUAAAAAUUUUAGUAUAAAAUAAAUUUGUGACAAAAUAAAUAGUGUAAUUUUAGAUGGAAGUGGGUUCAAGUCCCACCAGUUCCACA